CGAUCACCUGCUGCGAGGUGGGCACCUGUGCGCCCGCCGCGUAGGGGUAGACGUUGUCGGUGCGCACCGACUCGACGACGCCGGCCUCGAUGCCCGCCAGCAGCGGCUGCACGACCAGGCGCGUGGGGAAGAAGCCCAAGCGCUCGCGUCCGGGCCCCAGCGAGAGCACAUAGUCAAAGUGCGACGUGUCGUAGGCGAUCACGCGGCCGAGGGCGAGCGGCAGCGGCGGCGCGCCCGGCGCCAGCGCGGCCUCAAAGAGGUGCGUCUCGGGCCGGUAAAAGACGAGGGCGCCGCGCUCGAUGCCAUAGGGCCCGAGCAGGUAGUCGAACCAGGUCUGGCGGAUCUGGUAGCCGCUGGCGCGCGCGGCGCCGCCCACGCGGACAAUCUCUUCGCCCGACGCCAGCGGCCUUCGCUCGCGGCCGUACGCAUAGGGAACGAGCCCGGCCACGAGUUCCCUCUGGUAGGGGAACACGCCCACGACGGCGCUCGGCUCUGCCUGCGGCACCACCGGUAUGCCCGGCAGCGGCGGGAAGGGGAAGGUUACGCGCGUGCCCGAGAUCAAGGCUCGCGGCGCGCGCGCCUGCUCCUCGGCGUAGCGACGUGCCGACUCGACGGCGCAGACGCGACACACGGCGCCUCGCGGGGCCUCCUCCUGGCCCUGAAUAAACACCGAGUAGAAUUCAUUGUCGGAUGGAUCCUGCGACCAGGCGUCGAUCAUGCCUAGGAGCGCUCCCGCGCCAUAGGCGUUGACGAGGCCCGCGUUGCCCAGCACCCGGGCUACUAUGUUGCCGACACCGGGCGCGCCGCGAGGCCCCUCCUCUUGGGACAGGCGCCGACGGCGGCUCGCCGGUUCGGCCGUCGGGCUCGUCGGCACCCGCGAAAGGCCACCGCGCUGGUAGUCUUCGAUGAGGUCCAACACGCGCUGCCGGUAGUCAUACUCGGAACCGCCAGCCGCCUCCCACGCGUUCCAAUCUGGCACCAGGUAGUCGAGCACGUCCGACGGGAUGGCGGCGCGCGUCUGGCAGAUGCCGCACACCUCGGGCGGCGGCACGAUCUCGACGGCCUCGAUGGGUUGGCGCGACAGGGGGCUCACGCGGGCCAGCGUCGCCGAGGCGAUAUCGCUCGGCGUCGGAUACUGGGCGGCCUCUUCCGGCGUCAUGGCGGCGGCGGCCAGGGCGCCGGCGUCGAGGGCGUCGCGACGUCGCUUGACCGACACGGCGCGCGGACCCGCCGAUUGUUGCUGCUGCUGCUGCUGUUGGAGGAUGGCCUCGCGCACGGUGGGCAACGGCGUCGGCGGCGCCUCAAACACGCUAAAGCCGGCAGCCGAUGGGCGGUAGGGCGACGGCUGGGUCGACGGCGUGGGCGGUUGCGGUUGUGGCCGUGGCGACGGCGCGCCGGCGAUGGCGGCGGCGGACGCCAACGCAGCGGCCAGCGGGGCCUCGGCGACGGCGGCCUGGUUGGGUCCGACGACGAUGGUCGAGAGGCCCACGGCGUUGAGGUCGCCGCGCGCUCGUGCACACGGAUCGCUGGCCGAGCCGAGGGCGGGUGCCGCCGUCCACGGGUAGGUUUGAGGGUUGUAAUCGCGCUGCCAGUUGGCCAUCUGGGCGUCGACCGUGUCGCCGGCGAUCGGCAGCAGGCCGACGGCCAUGCGAUCGAUGGCCUCGGCCGCGAGGUCUGCGGUCACAUUGUCGGCCCCCUGCGGCAGGCUGAAAUAGGCCAGCGGGUCGAGCCACCACCAGCGGUCGAUGACGUCCGACUCGCCGCCGUCGCCGAUGACCAGGCGGUAGUAGGGCCAUGGGGCCUCCUGCACGUCGUUGCGUCCGUCGAGCCGAAAUAGGUACUCGGCGACGGCGGCCGGGACGGCGCGCUCAUAGUAGGCAUCGAGGGGCUCGUCGGCGUCGGGCAGCGGCAACGGCCGCUCCAGGGCGAGCACGCCAGAGAGGGCCGCCGCGAGGGCCUCGUUGGAAGCACGCGGGUCGCUCGCGCCGUUGGCCGCGGCCCAGGCGUCCAUCUGGGCGUCGAUGGCGUUGGCAAAGUCGGUCUGCGCGAGAAACAUGAACACGGCCAAGGCCGCAAGGUUGCCGCCGGGGCCGUCCAUCGCCGGAAUGCCGAUGGCGGCGGCGGCCUCGCGCUGUUCGGCCGAGCGCGCGCGGGCUUCGCUGACGGCGCGCUCGUAAUAGUACAUAAACGGCGCCACCAAGUCGUCGGCAACGAGGGCGGGGUCGGACGAGAGCGCGUCGCAGAGGAAGAAGAGCAUCUCGGUGGGUCCCAGCGAGACAAAGUCGUCGAGGCCGCGGGCGAGCACGGCCUGCUCGAUCGCGUUGUAGGGCAGUCGCGCGGGCGCCUCCAUGGUGCGACACACACACACACAGCGACCAGUAGGAGUGGGGGAGAAAAAUGAAAAGAAAAAAUGAAAAGAAAAAAAGCCUAGGCAGAGAGUGCGGUUGUGGUGGCGGCGGCGACGCCAACGGUAGGUACGGACAGGAGAGCGGUCGGUCAGAGAGGGCGCAGAUCGGUCGGGUCCGCUCGGCGCUCCUUUUCCCUUGUGCGGCGUCUGUGUUUUGCCGCCUCGACCGCCUUUCACGCGUCGACCACGCACGCCGUUGGUCGGUCCGCCCUUUGCCUUUUUUAGACAACGAAACUGGCGCCUUUUUUUUGCGUGCUGCGCUUUUUUGCCCCCGUCGUCUCCAGGCAAUAAAAACCCACCAAG
Molecule: long non-coding RNA, 2710 nt
Filed under: Pandoravirus salinus
Description: putative ncRNA
Source: RNAcentral